GGCCUGGUGGCACAGUGGUAGUGCAUCUGCAUAAAAUUGGACGAAGCGAUAAUAGUAUGCAGAUGAUGCUGGUUCGAGUCCAGCCUGGGCCC
This is a non-coding RNA of Mycena rebaudengoi, 92 nucleotides long. Lineage: Eukaryota; Fungi; Basidiomycota; Agaricomycetes; Agaricales; Mycenaceae. The record is from the annotation of a GenBank genome assembly.